This 67-nucleotide transfer RNA is filed under the name Tuxedo sp. ph57. RNAcentral's name for it is "tRNA-Leu". Lineage: Eukaryota; Metazoa; Arthropoda; Insecta; Hemiptera; Miridae. The record is from RNAcentral.
ACUAUUUUGGCAGAAAUAAUGUGGUAAAUUUAGAAUUUACUUAUGUAGUUUAAUACUACAAAUAGUA